UGGCGAAAAGCUGAACCUUUUGCCAGCAUGCUUGAAACUACUUCUUGUGCUCUAUUGACAUACAUUCUUCCAUUGCUAGGGGGACUAGUUUUAGCCUCAACAUUUGAUGGAACACUUUCAGAAAGAACAGCAGAUACAGCAUUGUCCACCCUUCUUACUUCCCGUAGCUCACAAUUUGGCACAUAAUUUUCUGCUGGAGUUAUACUCACUAUCUGGUCCACCAUAGUUGCUCCCGACAACAGCAAUGCAAUUUCAAGUGCUUUAUGAUCUUUGAAUGUAACAAAUGCAGUCUUUGAUAGCCCAUUUUCACGUUGGAUCUCAAUGUGCUCGAUUUCGCCAGAGAAAGAGAAGAACUCGUGAAUCUCUCUCUCACUAGCUAGAUCUGAUACAUGCUUCACUUGAACCGUUCUCGUCUGCAUUGCGAGCUCCU
Molecule: unclassified non-coding RNA, 430 nt
Filed under: Hevea brasiliensis (rubber tree)
Lineage: Eukaryota; Viridiplantae; Streptophyta; Magnoliopsida; Malpighiales; Euphorbiaceae
Source: RNAcentral